UGGGGAAUAUUGGGCAAUGGGCGAAAGCCUGACCCAGCGACGCCGCGUGGGUGAUGAAGGCCUUCGGGUUGUAAAGCCCUUUCGUGCGGAAAGAACAGCCCUGUAGCUAAUACCUGCAGGGUUUGACGGUACCGCAGGAAGAAGCACCGGCUAACUCCGUGCCAGCAGCCGCGGUAAUACGGAGGGUGCAAGCGUUGUUCGGAAUUAUUGGGCGUAAAGGGCGCGUAGGUGGUUGUGAUAGUCAGAUGUGAAAUCCUUUGGCUUAACUGAAGAACUGCAUCUGAAACUUCGCAACACGAGUACAGGAGAGGGAAACGGAAUUCCCGGUGUAGAGGUGAAAUUCGUAGAUAUCGGGAGGAACACCAGUGGCGAAGGCGGUUUCCUGGCCCGAUACUGACACUGAGGCGCGAAAGCGUGGGGAGCAAACAG
RNAcentral lists this ribosomal RNA (429 nucleotides) under uncultured bacterium. RNAcentral's name for it is "bacterial SSU rRNA". It matches the Rfam family "Bacterial small subunit ribosomal RNA", at positions 355 to 775 of the family's 1533-position model. The record is from RNAcentral.